This 630-nucleotide ribosomal RNA is filed under the name uncultured fungus. RNAcentral describes it as "eukaryotic LSU rRNA". It matches the Rfam family "Eukaryotic large subunit ribosomal RNA", at positions 1 to 636 of the family's 3401-position model. Lineage: Eukaryota; Fungi. The record is from RNAcentral.
GAUCUCAAAUCAGGUAGGACUACCCGCUGAACUUAAGCAUAUCAAUAAGCGGAGGAAAAGAAACUAACAAGGAUUCCCCUAGUAACUGCGAGUGAAGCGGGAAGAGCUCAAAUUUAAAAUCUGGCCGCCUUUGGUUGCCCGAGUUGUAGUCUGGAGAAGCGUUUUCCGUGUUGGACCGUGUACAAGUCUCUUGGAACAGGGCGUCAUAGAGGGUGAGAAUCCCGUCUUUGACACGGACUACCAAUGCUUUGUGAUGCGCUCUCAAAGAGUCGAGUUGUUUGGGAAUGCAGCUCAAAAUGGGUGGUAAAUUCCAUCUAAAGCUAAAUAUAGGCGAGAGACCGAUAGCGAACAAGUACCGUGAGGGAAAGAUGAAAAGCACUUUGGAAAGAGAGUUAAACAGUACGUGAAAUUGCUGAAAGGGAAACGCUUGAAGUCAGUCAUGUCUGCCGGGACUCAGCCUUGCUUCUGCUUGGUGCACUUCCUGGUUGGAUGGGCCAACAUCAAUUUUGACCGUUGGAGAAAGGCUUUGGGAAUGUGGCACCUUUGGGUGUGUUAUAGCCCUUUGUCGUAUACGGCGGUCGGGAUUGAGGACUGCAGCACGCCUUUAUGGCCGGGGUUCGCCCACGUACG